Molecule: small nuclear RNA, 159 nt
Organism: Hypanus sabinus (Atlantic stingray)
Lineage: Eukaryota; Metazoa; Chordata; Chondrichthyes; Myliobatiformes; Dasyatidae
Product: U1 spliceosomal RNA
Exons: 1
Source: RefSeq, a predicted model, not a curated record
AUACUUACUUGACAGGGGAGGGACUGUGAUCAAAAAGGUGGUUCUCCCAGGACAAGGCAAUCCCAUUGCAAUUCAGGUGUGGUUACGCCUGCAAUGUCCCCAAAUGCGGGAUAUUCGACUGCAAAACUUGUGGUAGUGGGGGACUGCGUACGUGCUUGA